This 203-nucleotide ribosomal RNA is filed under the name Escherichia coli. RNAcentral describes it as "partial 23S ribosomal RNA". It matches the Rfam family "Bacterial large subunit ribosomal RNA", at positions 190 to 431 of the family's 2925-position model. Lineage: Bacteria; Pseudomonadati; Pseudomonadota; Gammaproteobacteria; Enterobacterales; Enterobacteriaceae. The record is from RNAcentral.
GAACUGAAACAUCUAAGUACCCCGAGGAAAAGAAAUCAACCGAGAUUCCCCCAGUAGCGGCGAGCGAACGGGGAGGAGCCCAGAGCCUGAAUCAGUGUGUGUGUUAGUGGAAGCGUCUGGAAAGGCGCGCGAUACAGGGUGACAGCCCCGUACACAAAAAUGCACAUGCUGUGAGCUCGAUGAGUAGGGCGGGACACGUGGUA